This 1359-nucleotide ribosomal RNA is filed under the name uncultured bacterium. RNAcentral describes it as "bacterial SSU rRNA". It matches the Rfam family "Bacterial small subunit ribosomal RNA", at positions 28 to 1381 of the family's 1533-position model. The record is from RNAcentral.
GAUGAACGCUAGCUACAGGCUUAACACAUGCAAGUCGAGGGGCAGCAUUUUAGUUUGCUUGCAAACUGAAGAUGGCGACCGGCGCACGGGUGAGUAACACGUAUCCAACCUGCCGAUAACUCCGGGAUAGCCUUUCGAAAGAAAGAUUAAUACCGGAUAGUAUACGAAUAUCGCAUGAUAUUUUUAUUAAAGAAUUUCGGUUAUCGAUGGGGAUGCGUUCCAUUAGUUUGUUGGCGGGGUAACGGCCCACCAAGACUACGAUGGAUAGGGGUUCUGAGAGGAAGGUCCCCCACAUUGGAACUGAGACACGGUCCAAACUCCUACGGGAGGCAGCAGUGAGGAAUAUUGGUCAAUGGGCGCGAGCCUGAACCAGCCAAGUAGCGUGAAGGAUGAAGGCUCUAUGGGUCGUAAACUUCUUUUAUAUGGGAAUAAAGUUUUCCACGUGUGGAAUUUUGUAUGUACCAUAUGAAUAAGGAUCGGCUAACUCCGUGCCAGCAGCCGCGGUAAUACGGAGGAUCCGAGCGUUAUCCGGAUUUAUUGGGUUUAAAGGGAGCGUAGGUGGAUUGUUAAGUCAGUUGUGAAAGUUUGCGGCUCAACCGUAAAAUUGCAGUUGAAACUGGCAGUCUUGAGUACAGUAGAGGUGGGCGGAAUUCGUGGUGUAGCGGUGAAAUGCUUAGAUAUCACGAAGAACUCCGAUUGCGAAGGCAGCUCACUAGACUGUCACUGACACUGAUGCUCGAAAGUGUGGGUAUCAAACAGGAUUAGAUACCCUGGUAGUCCACACAGUAAACGAUGAAUACUCGCUGUUUGCGAUAUACAGUAAGCGGCCAAGCGAAAGCAUUAAGUAUUCCACCUGGGGAGUACGCCGGCAACGGUGAAACUCAAAGGAAUUGACGGGGGCCCGCACAAGCGGAGGAACAUGUGGUUUAAUUCGAUGAUACGCGAGGAACCUUACCCGGGCUUAAAUUGCAACAGAAUAUAUUGGAAACAGUAUAGCCGUAAGGCUGUUGUGAAGGUGCUGCAUGGUUGUCGUCAGCUCGUGCCGUGAGGUGUCGGCUUAAGUGCCAUAACGAGCGCAACCCUUAUCUUUAGUUACUAACAGGUGAUGCUGGGGACUCUAGAGAGACUGCCGUCGUAAGAUGUGAGGAAGGUGGGGAUGACGUCAAAUCAGCACGGCCCUUACGUCCGGGGCUACACACGUGUUACAAUGGGGGGUACAGAAGGCGGCUACCUGGUGACAGGAUGCUAAUCCCAAAAACCUCUCUCAGUUCGGAUCGAAGUCUGCAACCCGACUUCGUGAAGCUGGAUUCGCUAGUAAUCGCGCAUCAGCCAUGGCGCGGUGAAUACGUUCCCGGGCCU